RNAcentral lists this ribosomal RNA (435 nucleotides) under uncultured bacterium. RNAcentral describes it as "partial 16S ribosomal RNA". It matches the Rfam family "Bacterial small subunit ribosomal RNA", at positions 28 to 507 of the family's 1533-position model. The record is from RNAcentral.
GAUGAACGCUGGCGGUAUGCUUAACACAUGCAAGUCGAACGGACUCUUCGGCGUUCGUGUCGGACGGGUGUGUAACCCGUUGGAAUAUGGCUUUGUGUUCGGGACAACCACUGGACACGGUUGCUAAUACAGGAUGUGACGCGAGGUCUAAUAGAAAUUGCCUCAAGAUGGGGUCGCGUCUGAUUAGCUAGUUGGUAAGGUUAAGGCGCACCAAGGGAGCGAUCUGUCGGAGGUCUGAGAUGAUGACCAGCCACGACGGGGAUGAGAACCGGCCCAAGCACCGAGGGGAAGCAGGCGUGGGGAAUGAUCCGGAAGUGGCGAAAGCGUGACGGAGCAAUACCGCGUGAGGGAAUAAGGCCCUUGGGAUGGAAACCUCGUUACCUAGGGAAGAACGAAAUGACGGUACCUAAGGAAGCAGCACCGGCUAACUCCGUG